GGGUUCCUGGCAUUGUGAUUUAAUGAUUAAAUAAAAGUGAAAAAUCACAUUGCCAGGGAUUACCA
RNAcentral lists this microRNA precursor (65 nucleotides) under Scyliorhinus torazame (cloudy catshark). Its description in RNAcentral is "Sto-Mir-23-P4_pre stem-loop". It matches the Rfam family "mir-23 microRNA precursor family", at positions 10 to 68 of the family's 73-position model. Lineage: Eukaryota; Metazoa; Chordata; Chondrichthyes; Carcharhiniformes; Scyliorhinidae. The record is from RNAcentral.